CACUCCAGUAACAGCAAAGCACUCGGAGGCACUCGGAGCUACUAACGCGUGAGUGAUGCUGGAGCCGAGCAUGCAAAUCCAGCCGUGACCUUUCCCGCAGCCGCUCCAAGGAAACGCCAGGGCACCGYGACGCUGGAUCCCUGCCAGCUCCCAAGCAUUUCCAGGAAAAACGGAGGAGCUCUCUGGUGGCAAUCGUUUGGGAAGGCUCCUGGGGAAGAGCCUGGGAGAUUUGGAAGGCAAAUGGGGUGCUGGCACGCGGGCAGUGCAUGGAAAGUGAUCCUGAUGCUUAUCACCUCCUACAGCUCCUCUCAUUCCUAGGCACCGGAUGGAAAAAAUACCCACGGCAAAAACAGUUGCAUCUACAAGCAAAAAGGGCUCCCAAUAUCUAUGGGGUACCUCCAAGGCUCAGUGUUGGACCUUGGGAAUAAACGACACUGGGUGACUCCGUGCUCUUGGGCGUCAUUGCAGGUGUUGGGAGCACGGUGGGCACAAUGAAUUAGACCCGAGCUAAACCGUUUCAGUAUCGUGGCUCGUGAAACCUUCCUCGAAAAAUUAAUUCAAGCCGGUGGGGAUGUGAACACAGUCGCGUGGAUGGAGAAUUGGCUGGAAGACCGUAAACAGGGAAGGAUAAUAAAUGGCAGCGCAGCAAAUGGCAAGGCAAGCGGCAGCGUCUGCUCUUCUCCUACCUUCCUGUGAAUGAUGGGGAAGAAGAAGCAGACGUCGUGUUGCUGCUUCUUGCCCARUAUGCGCAGCGUGUCUCACGUCUGCCUGGCAGCCCAUCAUUGCAGAGGGGCUCUCACCAUGCCCCUGGUCCUCCUGGACCCUCUCUGGCCUCAACUAAAGGAGAYUGGAGACCCAUGUGAAUGGUUCAGGGCCUGGAGGGUUUCUCUAAGGAGAGGUGGAUCCAGGAGGCAGUUUUGGGACAUAAAUCCAGGUCACUUUAGGCUGCAGUGGUCUGGCCCUGGACCUCCCAUGGACUAAUCAAGCAGUAUUUGACCCAUCCAUCACCYUCUACCAGUCCUGAUGGGUCUGUUUCACACCCCGGUUGCUCUGGUGCUCCCGACCUUUUUAAUCUCCAGCCUGUGUGUUAUUCAUGGCCAACUUGUCACUGCUCCUCCUGGUGCCAGUGCUGCCCUUUAGCUGAUAUUGUCUGUCCCUGUCUUCAACAUCUCUACAGGCUUCGGUUGCCUCCACAUGUUGGCCUGGCUCCACCAGCCAAUAUCUUCCCGUAUUCCGGUCCCAUUGACUUCCACCCCAGCAGAUCCCUGGUCCUGGCAUGACCUCAAAGCGAGCCCAGUGUAGAUGAUCACGGACAGAGGUGCCACCGCCUCUCUGGGCCCCAGUGCUGCAUUUGGCCAUCCUUUGUCCUACCACCAAGCRCCUCUGAGACGCUGCCUGCUCUGAUGUGCCCGUAAUACAGCUGACAGCAACACUGAAAUCUCCCCUUUGCUUCCCUCUGCAUCAUGGUCCUACUUCUCUUCUUCUGCACUUUCUGAACCAAAUCUUAUUCCCCUUAUGCCAAUUUGAACAAUCAUCCCACUCUUUUUGCCUAAGGACCACAGCCUUUGAGUUGUCAGCAGAUAUCAUGAAAAUGUACCUUGUUUCCAAGACCAAGUCAUUAGUUUUUGAGCCAAAAUCCUUCACACAUUUGCAGAAGAUGCUAGGGAUCAAGAUUAACCCUUGAGGAAGCCCGUCAGUGCUCUUGGCCUGGUACCACCAUUACA
This is a long non-coding RNA of Nothoprocta perdicaria, 1724 nucleotides long. RefSeq lists it as uncharacterized. The transcript is spliced from 2 exons. The record is from RefSeq and is a predicted model, not a curated record. NCBI's taxonomy places the organism in Eukaryota, Metazoa, Chordata, Aves, Tinamiformes, Tinamidae.